Long non-coding RNA from Ostrinia nubilalis (European corn borer), 397 nucleotides. RefSeq lists it as uncharacterized. Lineage: Eukaryota; Metazoa; Arthropoda; Insecta; Lepidoptera; Crambidae. The transcript is spliced from 2 exons. The record is from RefSeq and is a predicted model, not a curated record.
UUAGAAGUGUGUAAGGAAACAGAAGUAGCAUGCGAGCCAAUGCUAGCAGCGCAGGUCGGCAUGUGCGACAGCAUGAAGGAUUCUGAUGCUCCAUGGUUUCCUCUGUUCACGAUGAUGAAUAUAUCUUCUUGUCCUAUACCUGUGGGCCAAUACCCAAUCAAAAACCUGCAUUUAUCAGUGGAACAAUUCAAAGGUUGUCUUAGCCGGGACUUCUGUGGAUUUUACGCAGCUAAAAUCAACAUUUUGAAGAAAUUGGAUGUUGUAGCAUGUUACAUGGUAUAUUUGGAAGUUGUUGAAAAACAAGACGAUUGACAGAAGAUUAAGUUGUAUUUAUAUAUUUUGUUUAUAUUGUAUACUUGACGACGGUGAUCCUUUAUUAAACAAUUAAGCUUUAGUA